GGACCAAAUCCCCAGC
RNAcentral lists this ribosomal RNA (16 nucleotides) under Elaeocarpus hainanensis. Its description in RNAcentral is "partial 28S ribosomal RNA". Lineage: Eukaryota; Viridiplantae; Streptophyta; Magnoliopsida; Oxalidales; Elaeocarpaceae. The record is from RNAcentral.